GUGUCAGCCGCCGCGGUAAUACGGAGGGUGCAAGCGUUAAUCGGAAUUACUGGGCGUAAAGGGCGCGUAGGUGGUAACUUAAGUUGGGUGUGAAAUCCCCGGGCUCAACCUGGGAAUUGCAUCCAAAACUGGGUUGCUAGAGUGUGGUAGAGGGUAGCGGAAUUUCUGGUGUAGCGGUGAAAUGCGUAGAUAUCAGAAGGAACAUCAAUGGCGAAGGCAGCUACCUGGGCCAACACUGACGCUGAGGCGCGAAAGCGUGGGGAGCAAACAGGAUUAGAUACCCUGGUAGUCCACGCUAUAAACGAUGACAACUUGUUGAUGGGGGCACUGGCCUUCGUUGACGGAGCUAACGCGUUAAGUUGUCCGCCUGGGGAGUACGGUCGCAAGGCUGAA
Molecule: ribosomal RNA, 393 nt
Filed under: uncultured bacterium
Lineage: Bacteria
Description: bacterial SSU rRNA
Rfam family: Bacterial small subunit ribosomal RNA
Source: RNAcentral